Dermacentor andersoni is the source of this 497-nucleotide long non-coding RNA. RefSeq lists it as uncharacterized. The record is from RefSeq and is a predicted model, not a curated record. NCBI's taxonomy places the organism in Eukaryota, Metazoa, Arthropoda, Arachnida, Ixodida, Ixodidae.
UGAUUGGCCGGUCGUGGCGGUUCCAGAGGCGGAGAAUCAAUUGGACCACUGAAGAAGCGCGUAAAAGAACAAGGAUUGAAACUUAAUCGUCACAUUAUCCCUGAAUUGGGAGGAGCGAGCUCGUCCCUACUCUUUCUCGUAGGACGCGCUAGAGUUGCAAGCCAUACGUCCGUCUGGAUGACCUCUCCAUCUCCCAUUCUGCUUAAUUUAAAUUAUGGGGUUUAACGUGCCAAAACCACUUUCUGAUUAUGAGGCAUGCCGUAGUGGAGGGCUCCGGAAAUUUCGACCACCUGGGGUUCUUUAACGUGCACCUAAAUCUAAGCACACGGGUGUUUUGGCAUUUCGCCCCCAUCGAAAUGCGGCCGCCGGGGCCGGGAUUCGAUCCCGCGCCCUCGUGCUCAGCAGCCCAACGCCAUAGCCACUGAGCAACCACGGCGGGUCCCAUUCUGCUUUCUCUUUCUCAAUUCCUCAUGUAAAUAAAUUAUUCGCAACUCAUU